GGAGCCGGACAGGCUGUCGCUGCGAUCAUUGAUCGGAGAGGAAAGUCCGGGCUCCGCAGGGCAGAACGCUGGGUAACUCCCAGGGGGAGCGAUCCCCGUCAAGUGCAACAGAAAGCAGACCGCCUCCGGGGAAACCCGGCGGUAAGGGUGAAACGGUGGGGUAAGAGCCCACCGCGUCCCUGGCAACAGGGGCGGCACGGCAACCCCCAGCUGGUGCAAGGCCAAAUAGGCGGCGAGGUCCGGCCCGGACCGCCCACGUCGGAGGCGCCGCAAGGCGUCGCGCCGACGAGCCGCGGGUAGGCCGCGCGAGGUGGCGGGUGACCGCCAUCCCAGAGAGAUGAC
RNAcentral lists this RNase P RNA (342 nucleotides) under Pseudomonadota bacterium. Its description in RNAcentral is "Proteobacteria bacterium (groundwater metagenome) partial RNase P RNA component class A". It matches the Rfam family "Bacterial RNase P class A", at positions 1 to 316 of the family's 367-position model. Rfam says of the family: Ribonuclease P (RNase P) is a ubiquitous endoribonuclease, found in archaea, bacteria and eukarya as well as chloroplasts and mitochondria. Its best characterised activity is the generation of mature 5'-ends of tRNAs by cleaving the 5'-leader elements of precursor-tRNAs. The record is from RNAcentral. Lineage: Bacteria; Pseudomonadati; Pseudomonadota.